This 452-nucleotide ribosomal RNA is filed under the name Sinohyriopsis schlegelii. Its description in RNAcentral is "partial 16S rRNA". It matches the Rfam family "Bacterial large subunit ribosomal RNA", at positions 1936 to 2619 of the family's 2925-position model. The record is from RNAcentral. Lineage: Eukaryota; Metazoa; Mollusca; Bivalvia; Unionida; Unionidae.
UUUAUUAGUGUGAGCGUGCUAAGGUAGCGUGUAAUAAAUAGCCUCUCAAUUGGAGGCCAGUGAAUGGCAAGACUAGGAACACCUGUACCUUAUACACUAAAAAAACUUUUCGUCUAAGUGAAAAGACUUAGAUAAUGAAGGAAGACGAAAAGACCCCGCGGAACUUUACCUUCUCCCACUCCCCUGCCCAGAAGCACAAAAGAACCAAAGGUUUGAUUGGGGCAAUCUCGGAACCACCAAGCUUCCGAUUUCUAGCAGAAAUGAUCCAAAAUUCGAUAAAGACCAAAAAGAAGUUACCCCGGGGAUAACAGCGUAAUCCAACUCAAGAGUACACAUCGAAAGUUGGGUUUGCGACCUCGAUGUUGGCUUAAGGUUAUCCACAAUAGUGCAACCGCUAUGAUAGGAUAGUCUGUUCGACUAUCAUACCCUUACACGAGCUGAGUAAGACGCGA